GAGACAGCAGUCGCCGCGGUAAUACGGAGGGUGCAAGCGUUAAUCGGAAUUACUGGGCGUAAAGCGCACGCAGGCGGUCUGACAAGUCAGAUGUGAAAUCCCCGGGCUUAACCUGGGAACUGCAUUUGAAACUGUCAGGCUGGAGUCUUGUAGAGGGGGGUAGAAUUCCAGGUGUAGCGGUGAAAUGCGUAGAGAUCUGGAGGAAUACCGGUGGCGAAGGCGGCCCCCUGGACAAAGACUGACGCUCAGGUGCGAAAGCGUGGGGAGCAAACAGGAUUAGAUACCCCAGUAGUCCCUGUCUCUUAUAC
RNAcentral lists this ribosomal RNA (308 nucleotides) under uncultured bacterium. RNAcentral's name for it is "partial 16S ribosomal RNA". It matches the Rfam family "Bacterial small subunit ribosomal RNA", at positions 505 to 807 of the family's 1533-position model. The record is from RNAcentral.